RNAcentral lists this non-coding RNA (23 nucleotides) under Mus musculus (house mouse). The record is from RNAcentral. Lineage: Eukaryota; Metazoa; Chordata; Mammalia; Rodentia; Muridae.
CGAACUCAGAAAUCUGCCUGCCU